UUCCUCUACACAGGUUUGAUGAAUCUCCCCCUUUGUCUCUACAAGUGAUAUAGAGUGGCCUCUCAGAGACUGACAGUCACUUUGGCACAAUCCGACUCGUUGGGACCUCUAGUGGUGAAAACAAGGUUCAGCAGGACAAGUUAUCGGGUCACUGUAGAAAGGCAGCCCGUCCCUGUACCAUGAUGCCCAGGGUUCGAGCAGCAUGAAACCAAUGAUAGAUUCCCUUGAACAAUUUGCACAGUGAUGGAAAACAGAGGAAUCAAUGAGAUAACAAAUGAUCACUGACUGCAUUCGGAAGUAGAACACAGCAACACUCUCAAGACACGGAUACAUCGAUCACCAGGUCGACCAGAUGGGAUGGGAGUUUACAGCUUGACAGAAGCAAAAGGUCUGACUCAGGCGAAUCUCCGUGUCUGACUAUGCAUCAGGAGGAAGGACGAUUCAUUAGACACAAAUCAUUUAUCAGCCUCCUGACUAGAAACCCAGGAAAAAACAAAGAUCGGAAAUGCCAAAAAAGAGAAUUAAAACCACAAGGAGGACACAGCACAACCAAAAUUGGUCUCUUGCGAUGUGGAGCCUUAAUGGGCCAUCUCUAGUACCCGGCCAACCUCCAUGCAUAUUCAUGCUCCCGAAACAUUACUCUAAUUUCUUGCCAAAACCACUUUGGACUUUAGCAGCUCCUGAUAAGAUCUGCAGCACUGAAGGGACCAGUAAUGAAGUAGGCUCUAGGGUCAACCACUUUUUAAUAAAGACUC
Hyla sarda is the source of this 755-nucleotide long non-coding RNA. RefSeq lists it as uncharacterized. The record is from RefSeq and is a predicted model, not a curated record. NCBI's taxonomy places the organism in Eukaryota, Metazoa, Chordata, Amphibia, Anura, Hylidae. The transcript is spliced from 3 exons.